CUUGCUUGCUUCUCACCCUGUUUCUCUUUCGCUCCCACAGUUUCUCUCACAGGUCUCCUUAACAAUGUGGUAGGAACAGCGGAGCAUCUCCACGGCUCUUCCGCCUUGCCUGCCGUAAAGCGAGAUGGUCGGGGGUCCUACGGCUUUCCUUUCGGUAGUCAAGAUGUUUAAAACCUCUCACAACUGGACCAAACUUCAACAGCCACAUCCUCCUCCUACACCCAGAUUUCUCAUCUCAGCAAAUGAGCUGAAGGAAAAAUAACUGGACGUCUUUGUGUAAGCCACAGCCUGUGUGCGCUGUCUCCACUCCUUGAAAAUAGAUUCACAAAGAUCUCAAACACCC
Molecule: long non-coding RNA, 343 nt
Filed under: Fukomys damarensis (Damara mole-rat)
Lineage: Eukaryota; Metazoa; Chordata; Mammalia; Rodentia; Bathyergidae
Description: lncRNA (ENSFDAG00000032316.1)
Source: RNAcentral